Molecule: long non-coding RNA, 215 nt
Filed under: Mytilus galloprovincialis (Mediterranean mussel)
Lineage: Eukaryota; Metazoa; Mollusca; Bivalvia; Mytilida; Mytilidae
Source: RNAcentral
GGGGGAGGGCUAAUAGCUUAACUCAAGAUUUUGAUCUUAUUCAACUUUAUUCUAGUACGGCAUACGUUUUACCGCUAGCAAACUCUUUAUCUUAAUAAUGUAUCAAUGAUUUACUUCAGAUCCACUUUCGCCUCGUCCUAAAUAUGCGUGAUAUAUUUGCCACUGGAGCACGGGAGCAAUCAAUUUAUCAGUUUCAUAUAGUGAUGCAUAAUCAU